Molecule: transfer RNA, 76 nt
Filed under: Promethearchaeota archaeon
Lineage: Archaea; Promethearchaeati; Promethearchaeota
Also listed under: 3 other names
Description: Candidatus Lokiarchaeota archaeon (microbial mat metagenome) tRNA-Ala
Rfam family: tRNA
About the family: Transfer RNA (tRNA) molecules are approximately 80 nucleotides in length. Their secondary structure includes four short double-helical elements and three loops (D, anti-codon, and T loops). Further hydrogen bonds mediate the characteristic L-shaped molecular structure. tRNAs have two regions of fundamental functional importance: the anti-codon, which is responsible for specific mRNA codon recognition, and the 3' end, to which the tRNAs corresponding amino acid is attached (by aminoacyl-tRNA synthetases). tRNAs cope with the degeneracy of the genetic code in two manners: having more than one tRNA (with a specific anti-codon) for a particular amino acid; and 'wobble' base-pairing, i.e. permitting non-standard base-pairing at the 3rd anti-codon position.
Source: RNAcentral
GGGCCGGUAGAUCAGCUGGCAGAUCGCUUGGUUCGCAAUCAAGAGGGCGUGGGUUCAAAUCCCACCCGGUCCACCA